GGUUUUCAAGGCGGGCUGUAACUGGUGGCAUUUGUCCCGGGACCAGGCUGGAGUGCCAUGGUGCGAUCUCGGCUCAUCACAACCUCCACCUCCUGGGUUCAAGCGAUCCUCCUUCCUCAGCUUCCUAAGUAGCUAGGAUUACAGGCAGGUUCUAAGUUUGACUUAAAAGAGGUGACAUCCUUGAUGCCAAGAGACCCAAGAAGAAGUUGGAAUGCAUUUCAGGUCCACAGUUUUAUAUGUGAGCAAGAUGGAGGCUGACCCAUCUGGCUUUAACAUCGAUGCCCCCCGUUGGGACCAGCGCACCUUCCUGGGGAGAGUGAAGCACUUCCUAAACAUCACGGACCCCCGCACUGUCUUUGUAUCUGAGCGAGAGCUGGACUGGGCCAAGGUGAUGGUGGAGAAGAGCAGGAUGGGGGUUGUGCCCCCAGGCACCCAAGUGGAGCAGCUGCUGUAUGCCAAGAAGCUAUAUGACUCGGCCUUCCACCCCGACACUGGGGAGAAGAUGAAUGUCAUCGGGCGCAUGUCUUUCCAGCUCCCUGGCGGCAUGAUCCUCACGGGCUUCAUGCUCCAGUUCUACAGCUAUUGAGCUGGGCUUUGGGCUGGGUGU
This 607-nucleotide small RNA is filed under the name Pongo abelii (Sumatran orangutan). Its description in RNAcentral is "processed transcript". The record is from RNAcentral. Lineage: Eukaryota; Metazoa; Chordata; Mammalia; Primates; Hominidae.